UACGUAGGGUGCAAGCGUUAAUCGGAAUUACUGGGCGUAAAGCGUGCGCAGGCGGCUUUGCAAGACAGAUGUGAAAUCCCCGGGCUCAACCUGGGAAUUGCGUUGGAGACUGCAAGGCUGGAGUCUGGCAGAGGGGGGUAGAAUUCCACGUGUAGCAGUGAAAUGCGUAGAGAUGUGGAGGAACACCGAUGGCGAAGGCAGCCCCCUGGGUCAAGACUGACGCUCAUGCACGAAAGCGUGGGGAGCAAACAGG
RNAcentral lists this ribosomal RNA (253 nucleotides) under uncultured bacterium. Its description in RNAcentral is "partial 16S ribosomal RNA". It matches the Rfam family "Bacterial small subunit ribosomal RNA", at positions 524 to 776 of the family's 1533-position model. The record is from RNAcentral.